Molecule: ribosomal RNA, 723 nt
Filed under: Vibrio sp. 1C03
Lineage: Bacteria; Pseudomonadati; Pseudomonadota; Gammaproteobacteria; Vibrionales; Vibrionaceae
Description: bacterial SSU rRNA
Rfam family: Bacterial small subunit ribosomal RNA
Source: RNAcentral
ACGCUGGCGGCAGGCCUAACACAUGCAAGUCGAGCGGAAACGACACUAACAAUCCUUCGGGUGCGUUAAUGGGCGUCGAGCGGCGGACGGGUGAGUAAUGCCUAGGAAAUUGCCUUGAUGUGGGGGAUAACCAUUGGAAACGAUGGCUAAUACCGCAUAAUGCCUACGGGCCAAAGAGGGGGACCUUCGGGCCUCUCGCGUCAAGAUAUGCCUAGGUGGGAUUAGCUAGUUGGUGAGGUAAUGGCUCACCAAGGCGACGAUCCCUAGCUGGUCUGAGAGGAUGAUCAGCCACACUGGAACUGAGACACGGUCCAGACUCCUACGGGAGGCAGCAGUGGGGAAUAUUGCACAAUGGGCGAAAGCCUGAUGCAGCCAUGCCGCGUGUAUGAAGAAGGCCUUCGGGUUGUAAAGUACUUUCAGUUGUGAGGAAGGGGGUARCGUUAAUAGCGYYAUCUCUUGACGUUAGCAACAGAAGAAGCACCGGCUAACUCCGUGCCAGCAGCCGCGGUAAUACGGAGGGUGCGAGCGUUAAUCGGAAUUACUGGGCGUAAAGCGCAUGCAGGUGGUUCAUUAAGUCAGAUGUGAAAGCCCGGGGCUCAACCUCGGAACUGCAUUUGAAACUGGUGAACUAGAGUACUGUAGAGGGGGGUAGAAUUUCAGGUGUAGCGGUGAAAUGCGUAGAGAUCUGAAGGAAUACCAGUGGCGAAGGCGGCCCCCUGGACA